This 233-nucleotide ribosomal RNA is filed under the name Paenibacillus polymyxa. Its description in RNAcentral is "partial 23S ribosomal RNA". It matches the Rfam family "Bacterial large subunit ribosomal RNA", at positions 2084 to 2316 of the family's 2925-position model. Lineage: Bacteria; Bacillati; Bacillota; Bacilli; Caryophanales; Paenibacillaceae. The record is from RNAcentral.
AAAGACCCCAUGGAGCUUUACUGCAGCUUGAUAUUGAAUUUGGGUACGAUCUGUACAGGAUAGGUGGGAGCCGUAGAACUUUGAGCGCCAGCUUGAAGGGAGGCAUCCUUGGGAUACCACCCUGAUCGUAUCUAGGUUCUAACUUGGUACCGUGAUCCGGUACGAGGACAGUGUCAGGUGGGCAGUUUGACUGGGGCGGUCGCCUCCUAAAGAGUAACGGAGGCGCCCCAAGG